This 253-nucleotide ribosomal RNA is filed under the name uncultured bacterium. RNAcentral describes it as "partial 16S ribosomal RNA". It matches the Rfam family "Bacterial small subunit ribosomal RNA", at positions 524 to 776 of the family's 1533-position model. The record is from RNAcentral.
UACAGAGGGUGCAAGCGUUAAUCGGAAUUACUGGGCGUCAAGCGCGCGUAGGUGGUUUGGUAAGUCGGAUGUGAAAUCCCCGGGCUUAACCUGGGAAGGGCAUUUUGAACUGGCAGUCUAGAGUGUGUCAGAGGGGGGUGGAAUUCCACGUGUAGCAGUGAAAUGCGUAGAUAUGUGGAGGAACACCAAUGGCGAAGGCAGCCCCCUGGGAUAACACUGACGCUCAUGUGCGAAAGCGUGGGUAGCAAACAGG